AUGUUCGACACCAUCGGGUGGUUUGGCAGAGAUCUGGCUACAUUGUCCCGUGUCACUGAUGUGCUGCUCCCACCUGUACCUGCCGACGUCUUCGAUUCCGAGCUGCGACGACCAGUUCGUGUCAUCAUUCCCGCAGACUGUUUCAGGACUGUAUUUGGAAGUAUGGAGGACCGCGCCUACGAAAUCCUCAACGCUUCAGUUGCCAAGGUAUUUGGAAAUGAUGCAGUGGUGAACAAUGGCAACAUUGGUGAUUUCGUCUCCAUCAACGUUCCGAGCAUCGGCAACUUCAUGACCGACUUGUCUAUGGUCGAAGCAUCAUCAUCUUGUGUGCCCUCUCUGUCUGUCAUCUCAUGUGACUUGUGUGUCCUUCAAAGGCCUGAAUAAAAAGCAAACCACACGGAGUGGGUGAACAUGGUGAAGCCCAACCUCGGGCCUGGCAUCCGAGAGCGAGUCCAGGAGGCCAUUGCGUCGAAGGAUGAAUCUGCCAUGGAUGAUCUUCACGCCAUCAAGACCGAAUUCAAGUCUGCACUUGCCACUCUCCUCAAUGAGUAUGGUAUCCUGGCGAUCCCUACGGUCCCUGGUGCGCCACCGAAGCUGGGCAUGGAUGCGGCACUGCUGGAGGACUUCCGGGCGAGGGCGUUCUCCUUGCUGUCAAUCGCCGGCAUGUCGGGGUUCUGCCAGGCCAGCAUCCCGCUGUGCACCCGUUGCGGUGUCCCGGUGUCAGUGUCGCUACUCGCCCGGCACGGUGCCGACUUCCUCGCUGUCGUUGCCCAGGAGCUCCAGGAGGCGCUCAAAGAUGAGGCCGCCGCAGCCCGUGGCUCGUCAGGUUAG
This 831-nucleotide ribosomal RNA is filed under the name Triticum aestivum (bread wheat). Its description in RNAcentral is "partial small subunit ribosomal RNA". The record is from RNAcentral. Lineage: Eukaryota; Viridiplantae; Streptophyta; Magnoliopsida; Poales; Poaceae.